GGGGAAUAUUGCGCAAUGGGGGCAACCCUGACGCAGCAACGCCGCGUGCAGGAAGAAGGUCUUCGGAUUGUAAACUGUUGUCGCAAGGGAAGAAGACAGUGACGGUACCUUGUGAGAAAGUCACGGCUAACUACGUGCCAGCAGCCGCGGUAAUACGUAGGUGACAAGCGUUGUCCGGAUUUACCGGGUGUAAAGGGCGCGUAGGCGGACUGUCAAGUCAGUCGUGAAAUACCGGGGCUUAACCCCGGGGCUGCGAUUGAAACUGACAGCCUUGAGUAUCGGAGAGGAAAGCGGAAUUCCUAGUGUAGCGGUGAAAUGCGUAGAUAUUAGGAGGAACACCAGUGGCGAAGGCGGCUUUCUGGACGACAACUGACGCUGAGGCGCGAAAGUGUGGGGAGCAAACAGGAUUAGAUACCCUGGUAGUCCACACCGUAAACGAUGGAUACUAGGUGUAGGAGGUAUCGACCCCUUCUGUGCCGCAGUUAACACAAUAAGUAUCCCACCUGGGGAGUACGACCGCAAGGUUGAAACUCAAAGGAAUUGACGGGGGCCCGCACAAGCAGUGGAGUAUGUGGUUUAAUUCGAAGCAACGCGAAGAACCUUACCUGGGCUUGACAUCCCUGGAAUCGAGUAGAGAUACUUGAGUGCCUUCGGGAAUCAGGUGACAGGUGGUGCAUGGUUGUCGUCAGUCUCGUGUCGUGAGAUGUUGGGUUAAGUCCCGCAACGAGCGCAACCCCUAUUGUCAGUUGCCAUCAUUAAGUUGGGCACUCUGGCGAGACUGCCGGUGACAAAUCGGAGGAAGGUGGGGACGACGUCAAAUCAUCAUGCCCCUUAUGCCCAGGGCUACACACGUACUACAAUGGCCGAUAACAAAGUGCAGCGAAACCGUGAGGUGGAGCGAAUCACAAAACUCGGUCUCAGUUCAGAUUGCAGGCUGCAACUCGCCUGCAUGAAGUUGGAAUUGCUAGUAAUCGCGGAUCAGAAUGCCGCGGUGAAUACGUUCCCG
Molecule: ribosomal RNA, 1006 nt
Filed under: uncultured bacterium
Lineage: Bacteria
Description: bacterial SSU rRNA
Rfam family: Bacterial small subunit ribosomal RNA
Source: RNAcentral